AAACAUAGAAAAGGUAAUGUCCUGCAUUACAAGUUAUGAUGGCUGUGAUAUCACUAGUUAAUAGAAAUGUUUCAGCUCUUUUAUAAUAUUAUGGGGCCAGAUACAUUUGUGCUCUAUCCGUGACUGAAACAUUGUGAUGUGACACAUGACUGUAAAUAAAAUAAUGAUAAAUUGUGAUAAGUACUUUAACAGAAUAAAACACAGAUUACUCAAAAAAUAACAGGGUAAGGAAUUUUACUUUUUUAUAGGAUGAAGAAGCAGAGCUUCUCUAAGAAGGUAGUCGUUAUACUAAGACCUAAAUGAUGAAGAAGGUGCUAAUUAUACAAAUCAAGGGGCAUUCUACCCAGAAGAAAGGAUGUGCACAGUCCUGGGACCGAAAAAAAUUUGAUGCAUAGAAACCACAAUGGCUAGAAUGCAAGUCCAGGCUACCGGAACAGCCUCUGUCUGAAACAGGACUGAUACUCAUAGCAGACACAAAGAGAAGCCAUAGCACAAUAUGCAUUGCCUCUGAAAGCUUCUGUUUAGAAGGAACAGACAUUAGUUCUGCUUAUAUUUCAUUAUAUAUUUCACUGGACAAACUUGAUGUCAAAAAGGCAGCAGACUAUCAGAGGGAAUAAUGGAGUGACUAUGAAGCAACCGAACUCUGAUGCCCUUAACUGACCCAGCAGCCAAGAACAUCUGAAGAGGCGGAGAACAAACGAGAUAAGUGAUUUCUUAAGGAGGCCGAGAAGAAGGAAGUGAUUCCAGAAAGAUAUCACCACUCCUCAGUUAUGAAACCCAAGUGAGACCACCAUAACCUGACUUCCAGCCUAGAGCUAUCUCUGAUUCAGUAAAUCUCUUCGCAGCAGCAUAUACACUGGGAACCGGAAUUCUCACAGGUAAGAAAAUCCUUCAAGCUCCAAGUAAAUGAAAUAGAAAAUAUGCAAGUUCAAUAAGUGACAGGAUAAUGAAGAAACAGUUGUAUUCUGUCUAUACUAACAUAACUUAGCAGCUUUCCAAAGUGCUGGUGAAACGGUGGCAAGGUUCUGGAAUAAAAAAUGAAUAUUUUUACAAGACUAAAAUAUGUAUGGCCUGAACUAAAAAACAGCACCCCAACUCCCAUAAAAAAGAGGGAAUUUCAUACAAGGUGAGUAGGGUCAAAGUGGGGGUGAAAUGACAGAUUGUGCGGUCAACUACUUAUUUCUACUUAAGGAUGGCCUUACUACUCCCUCUCCAAAACCAAACCUGUUCAGUGUAUCAGUAAAGCUAAAUUGAUCUGAGUUGCUAUGGGAACACAGAAAGGAGUUCCUGGAAAUGUAAUAAUAAUUGCUGUCAUCUAAAAGGGCAGUAACUUUCUACUUCAA
Molecule: long non-coding RNA, 1343 nt
Organism: Cercocebus atys (sooty mangabey)
Lineage: Eukaryota; Metazoa; Chordata; Mammalia; Primates; Cercopithecidae
Exons: 4
Source: RefSeq, a predicted model, not a curated record